CGGCGGCCUAACACAUGCAAGUCGAGCGGAUGAAGGGAGCUUGCUCCUGGAUUCAGCGGCGGACGGGUGAGUAAUGCCUAGGAAUCUGCCUGGUAGUGGGGGAUAACGUCCGGAAACGGGCGCUAAUACCGCAUACGUCCUGAGGGAGAAAGUGGGGGAUCUUCGGACCUCACGCUAUCAGAUGAGCCUAGGUCGGAUUAGCUAGUUGGUGGGGUAAAGGCCUACCAAGGCGACGAUCCGUAACUGGUCUGAGAGGAUGAUCAGUCACACUGGAACUGAGACACGGUCCAGACUCCUACGGGAGGCAGCAGUGGGGAAUAUUGGACAAUGGGCGAAAGCCUGAUCCAGCCAUGCCGCGUGUGUGAAGAAGGUCUUCGGAUUGUAAAGCACUUUAAGUUGGGAGGAAGGGCAGUAAGUUAAUACCUUGCUGUUUUGACGUUACCAACAGAAUAAGCACCGGCUAACUUCGUGCCAGCAGCCGCGGUAAUACGAAGGGUGCAAGCGUUAAUCGGAAUUACUGGGCGUAAAGCGCGCGUAGGUGGUUCAGCAAGUUGGAUGUGAAAUCCCCGGGCUCAACCUGGGAACUGCAUCCAAAACUACUGAGCUAGAGUACGGUAGAGGGUGGUGGAAUUUCCUGUGUAGCGGUGAAAUGCGUAGAUAUAGGAAGGAACACCAGUGGCGAUGGCGACCACCUGGACUGAUACUGACACUGAGGUGCGAAAGCGUGGGGAGCAAACAGGAUUAGAUACCUGGUAGUCCCCGCCGUAAACGAUGUCGACUAGCGUGGGAUCUUGAGAACUUAUGGCGCAGCUACGCGAUAAGUCGAC
This 827-nucleotide ribosomal RNA is filed under the name Pseudomonas aeruginosa. Its description in RNAcentral is "bacterial SSU rRNA". It matches the Rfam family "Bacterial small subunit ribosomal RNA", at positions 40 to 869 of the family's 1533-position model. Lineage: Bacteria; Pseudomonadati; Pseudomonadota; Gammaproteobacteria; Pseudomonadales; Pseudomonadaceae. The record is from RNAcentral.